ACAAUUCACAAUAUGUAAAAAAAACAAUGCAAAGUAUGUUGUUAAAUGUCAUUGCACAUUUUAAGUGGGUAUAUGAAAAACCUGGAGCUUUCUUAGCUGG
Long non-coding RNA from Etheostoma cragini (Arkansas darter), 100 nucleotides. RefSeq lists it as uncharacterized. The transcript has 3 exons. Lineage: Eukaryota; Metazoa; Chordata; Actinopteri; Perciformes; Percidae. The record is from RefSeq and is a predicted model, not a curated record.